GUCUCCGUAGCUCAAUUGGAUAGAGCGUCAGCCUCCGAAGUUGAAGGUUGCAGGUUCGAUCCCUGCCGGGGAUA
RNAcentral lists this transfer RNA (74 nucleotides) under Planctomycetota bacterium. Its description in RNAcentral is "Planctomycetes bacterium tRNA-Arg". It matches the Rfam family "tRNA". From Rfam's summary of the family: Transfer RNA (tRNA) molecules are approximately 80 nucleotides in length. Their secondary structure includes four short double-helical elements and three loops (D, anti-codon, and T loops). Further hydrogen bonds mediate the characteristic L-shaped molecular structure. tRNAs have two regions of fundamental functional importance: the anti-codon, which is responsible for specific mRNA codon recognition, and the 3' end, to which the tRNAs corresponding amino acid is attached (by aminoacyl-tRNA synthetases). tRNAs cope with the degeneracy of the genetic code in two manners: having more than one tRNA (with a specific anti-codon) for a particular amino acid; and 'wobble' base-pairing, i.e. permitting non-standard base-pairing at the 3rd anti-codon position. RNAcentral also lists the same sequence under 1 other name. The record is from RNAcentral. Lineage: Bacteria; Pseudomonadati; Planctomycetota.